Molecule: ribosomal RNA, 497 nt
Filed under: uncultured bacterium
Lineage: Bacteria
Description: partial 16S ribosomal RNA
Rfam family: Bacterial small subunit ribosomal RNA
Source: RNAcentral
GACGAACGCUGGCGGCGUGCCUAAUACAUGCAAGUUGAGCGCUGAAGGUUGGUACUUGUACCAACUGGAUUAGCAGCGAACGGGUGAGUAACGCGUGGGGAAUCUGCCUUUGAGCGGGGGACAACAUUUGGAAACGAAUGCUAAUACCGCAUAAAAACUUUAAACACAAGUUUUAAGUUUGAAAGAUGCAAUUGCAUCACUCAAAGAUGAUCCCGCGUUGUAUUAGCUAGUUGGUGAGGUAAAGGCUCACCAAGGCGAUGAUACAUAGCCGACCUGAGAGGGUGAUCGGCCAAAUUGGGAAUGAGACACGGCACAAACUUCUACGGGAGGCAGCAGGAGGGAAUCCUCGGGAAUGGAAGCAAGUCCGACCGAGGAACGCCGCGUGAGUGAAGAAGGGUUUCGGAUCGUAAAACUCUGUUGGUAGAGAAGAAAGUUGGUGAGAGUGGAAAGCUCAUCAAGUGACGGUAACUAACCAGAAAGGGACGGCUAACUACGUG